UACGGAGGGUGCAAGCGUUAUCCGGAUUCACUGGGUUUAAAGGGUGCGUAGGUGGCCGGGUAAGUCUGACGUGAAAUCUCCAAGCUCAACUUGGAAACUGCGUCGGAUACUAUCCGGCUAGAGGAUCGGAGGGGAGACUGGAAUACUUGGUGUAGCAGUGAAAUGCGUAGAUAUCAAGUGGAACACCAGUGGCGAAGGCGAGUCUCUGGACGAUUCCUGACACUGAGGCACGAAAGCCAGGGGAGCAAACGGG
RNAcentral lists this ribosomal RNA (253 nucleotides) under uncultured bacterium. Its description in RNAcentral is "partial 16S ribosomal RNA". It matches the Rfam family "Bacterial small subunit ribosomal RNA", at positions 524 to 776 of the family's 1533-position model. The record is from RNAcentral.